CGACAAGGCGAACAAACAAAAACUGUGUAAAGCUGAAUACAAUUUAAAUCUUCCUGUUUAUGAAAUCGCUUUCAAGGCUUAAGCUGCAUAAGAAAGAAAAAAAGAAAUAUACAUAAUUUUCUGCAAAUAGCUUCAAUAAUUUAGACAGAAGUAAUAUGAGCUCGAAGACAUUUGGGUUUCUAAUUAUUUAAGAUCAAUAAAUUUUAUCCUCAGGCUACCUCGGAAUGGGCAGACAAGCACACAGUAGAUUUCAUCUUCAAUAACAUUUCCCCACAACGAGCAGAGAAUAUUUUCCAUCGAGUGAUUCCGGUAUCUGUAAAUAUGUGUUUCUAGAUCGGUCAUGUCAAAUCGAAAUUUUGUCAUACAAAAAAAUGUAGGUUCUUAUCUAACUCUGAUUGAUGAUACAUAACAAGCAAUGAUGGUUGCUUGAUAUUCUCUACAUGUUUAACACGCUCACUACUGUUCACAUGUUCAUUCCAUCUACAAUAGACGUGGAUCUCAUUGGAGACAUGCAAACAUGCUGUCACUCUGCCACCCACCCUAACCCCGUUUGUAACAAACAAACCCAAACUUACACUGACAUAGACAUAAACACAUGCCCACACUUGGGACUCACUUAACUUUGCCAUUUUCAUCGAAGUUUUCAAAGAAUUAAGUUUUUGUGGGGAAAGGCGACAGUCUUUACUUAUCCUUUUCUAACAUCUUCAACCAGCAUCGUGUACAUCUAGCACGUGACUUUCUCGGGAUGGGUCGGGUACCUUUAAAGUUAAUUGUAGACCAGGUCACUUAGUCUGUGAACAUCAACAGCAUGGAAUAUUUUCAGUGCACAAGGGUGAACUCUUUCACAGCACUGAGCAGCUUUUCCAGUCCGCAGAUUUCUGGUCCAUUCUGUACGAUUGGCAACAUUUAAAAGUCUGAAGAACACAUCAAGGAAUGAUGCUGUAAGUGCGUAGCCUUGACAUCAGGCUGAACAAAGAAUUUUUCAUUUACUUGAGUGAGGGCAACCAUAUUUCUUCAAGCGCACUGUGUUGUCUAGACUCCAGUGCAAUAACAGAUUAUGUCUUCCAUAAUCAAAUUCCCGUUUUCUUUUGUUGAAGUCUUAAAUUCUCCAAGCAGAUACUAAUACAGCUUCAUUUUUCGUCUUUUUCCUGUUGAAAUAUCUCUGGUAUUUUGUAGAAGCGCGGAAGUAUCAUCGAUACUUCACUCAAAAAAAAAAAAAAAACCGCGAAGUAGUGAAUCCGCGAUAUAUGAACCGCGAAGUAGCGAGGGAACACUGUAACUGGGUAAACCUACGGGGCAAAUACGGAUAGAAAGUGCUCGUUUGUCAAGAUGAUUAGUUAGACCUUCACUUCUUUCUCAUCUUCUCUAGAUAUUACGACUUGCGAGAGAGGUAAAAUCACCGCAAAAUAUUAUGUCUUCACUGUUCAGAUUCAAACUUAUGCUGUUGCUGUCAGACACUACAAUACUAUGUCUGGCAGGCUGACUGACACAUCCCCUCCCAGACUUGUGCCUGGGGCAACACACUGCUAGCAGGAACACUGAGUCACAACGUGAGACAGCCGUAGACAGAACGUAGCUCCGAGCACAGACUUUGUCCUUAGUCAACCGGUUGGCGAUGACUCGUCGCGCCCUUCUCUCAAGCUGCUCUCUCUUUUUCUUCUCCCCUCAACCUCUUGUCCUCCCUUUGUAUAUCUCCCGGUAGGGGUAAUGUGCCAUGUUUCCAGGAUGUCCUAUAAACACAGAUGGGACAACACAGACAGCGGUUCACGUGCUCUAGCCCAGAUGUCAACAAAUCACGUGCAGUCCGCAGGUUGCGAGACUCACCAUGACCAGAGCUCGUGCUCACCUGUGUGCAAGCUACGAAAAGACUUCUCGCCAGGUCAAUUCUGUGCAGAGCUGCACGACUGUAAAGCAUCAAACUACACUUUCUAGCAAAGAUAACAGGUUUGGUAAACCAGCUUUUAAAACCAGGUCAGGUCAGCCCAUAAGGUUAUUCCCAUUCCUUCCUUUUCCACCAACCUCACUCCUUGCUUCCCACACCAUAUACUUCAUCAAUUAUCUUCUUUAAUCCCAGACAAAUUCUUUUUCCCUCUUGUCAUCAUUUCAUCAUUUCCAACCUCUUCCCUUCCCACAAACCUUCCAAUAGCCUCCCUAUUUUGCCCUUCUACACAUUUGCUUCACACCAAUUUCCAAACCUUCUCAACUUUUCACCUCUACCUCUCACACUUUGUUACCAUCCAACUCCCUCUCUCUCCUUCCCUUACAAAUCCAACUUUACCCCUUUCUCCACCCCUUUAUUACCUUUUCCUUUCCAUCAAACCUUUCCUAUCUCUUCCUUCCACUUACCACCCCUUCAUUCACCUUCUCUUCCUUCUCAACCCUUACUGCCUUCCAACCUUCCCGACGAGACGGACAAGUGGUGCUCAUGGCAGUUACCGAGUGUGCAACGCUUCACCAUCAGCAUCUGUCUGGUCGCAGACACAGAGCUCGAGGCUGGUAGAUAAGCGUUGGUCCUUGUUAGGCGCUGUUCAGCUCGAGACAGCAGUCCGGCCUAUAGGACGAGAGAGACAUGGUGUGGCACAUGUUA
Pomacea canaliculata is the source of this 2587-nucleotide long non-coding RNA. RefSeq lists it as uncharacterized. Lineage: Eukaryota; Metazoa; Mollusca; Gastropoda; Architaenioglossa; Ampullariidae. The transcript has 3 exons. The record is from RefSeq and is a predicted model, not a curated record.